UGGGUAAUCUUUGAACGUGAAUCGUGAUGGGGAUAGAUGAUUGCAAUUAUUCAUCUUCAACGAGGAAUUCCUAGUAAACGCAAGUCGUCAGCUUGCAUUGAUUACGUCCCUGCCCUUUGUACACACCGCCCGUCGCACCUACCGAUUGAAUGGUCCGGUGAAAUCUUCGGAUCCGAGAGAUGUCUGAUUAAUUUCGGACGCCUUUUGGAAAAGUUGCUUAAACCUUACCAUUUAGAGGAAGGUGAAGUCGUAACAAGGUUUCCGUAGGUGAACCUGCGGAAGGAUCAUUA
This 290-nucleotide ribosomal RNA is filed under the name uncultured stramenopile. RNAcentral describes it as "partial 18S ribosomal RNA". It matches the Rfam family "Eukaryotic small subunit ribosomal RNA", at positions 1543 to 1831 of the family's 1831-position model. The record is from RNAcentral.